CCCUUAGAUGUUCUGGGCCGCACACGCGCUACACUGGCAGGUUCAUCGAGCUUCGUGCCCUGAUCUGAGAAGAACGGGAAAUCUUUGAACACCUGCCGUGCUUGGGAUAGAUGUUUGCAACUAUUCAUCUUCAACGAGGAUUGCCUUGUAAGCGCACGUCAUCAGCGUGCAUUGAAUACGACCCUGUAUUCUGUACACACCGCCCGUCGCUCCUACCGAUUGAAGUUUUCGGUGAAUUUACUGGAGAUCCCUUUUGAAGGUGGUUCGCCACUGGAAGAAGUAUUCAAAAGUAAAUGAAUCGAAUGCUUUAGAGGAAGGAGAAGUCGUAACA
RNAcentral lists this ribosomal RNA (331 nucleotides) under uncultured eukaryote. RNAcentral describes it as "partial 18S ribosomal RNA". It matches the Rfam family "Eukaryotic small subunit ribosomal RNA", at positions 1470 to 1796 of the family's 1831-position model. The record is from RNAcentral.